CAGCCGCCGCGGUAAUACGGAAGGUGCAAGCGUAACUCGGAAUUACUGGGCGUAAAGCGUCCGCAGGCGACUCUGUGUGUCUGGCGUAAAAGCACGAAGCUCAACUCCGUGUACGUGCCGGAAACUGCAGAGAUUGAGUCAUUCAGAGGCAUCUGGAAUGCUAUGUGUAGGGGUAAUAUCCGUUGAUCCAUAGUAGAACGCCAAAAGCGAAGGCAAGAUGCUGGGAAUGUACUGACGCUCAGGGACGAAAGCGUGGGGAGCGAACGGGAUUAGAUACCCCGGUAGUCCACGCCCUAAACGAUGUGUGCUCGGUGUGGGAAUUUACAAUUGAUUUCCGUGCCUAAGCUAACGCGGUAAGCACACCGCCUGGGGAGUACGGCCGCAAGGCUAAAACUCAAAGGAAUAGACGGGGACCCACACAAGCGGUGGAGCAUGGGGUUUAAUUCGAUAAUAAGCGAAGAACCUUCACCCAGCCUGACAUCCGGAAAAUCCACCCGAAAGGGAGGAGUGCCGCAAGGAAUCCGGUGACAGGUGAUGCACGGUCGUCGUCAGCUCGUGCCUUGAGGUGUACUGUUAAGUCAGCGAACGAGCGCAACCCUCAUCCUAUGUUGUUUUUUCAUAGGAGACUGCCGCCUCCAAGGCGGAGGAAGGUGAGGAUGACGUCAGAUCUGCGUGUCCCUUAUGCCUGGGGCAACACCCGUGCUACAAUGGCCGGUACAGAGGGCAGCGAACCCGCGAGGGGGAGCCAAUCCCACAAAACCGGUCUCAGUUCGGAUUGAAGUCUGCAACUCGACUUCAUGAAGUUGGAAUCGCUAGUAAACGUGAAUCAGCUACGUCACGUGAAUAUGUUCCUGGGUCUUGUACUCACCGCCCGUCAAGUCAUGAAAGGCAGGGGCGCCCGAAGGACCGUUACUCUUCGGAGGCGGUACCAAGGUGAAACUGCUGAUUGGGACUAAGUCGUAACAAGGUAACCGUA
Molecule: ribosomal RNA, 976 nt
Filed under: uncultured Microgenomates group bacterium
Lineage: Bacteria
Description: bacterial SSU rRNA
Rfam family: Bacterial small subunit ribosomal RNA
Source: RNAcentral